UAGCACAGGUUACCAAUUUGACUAUGUAUUUGAUUGGACAAUAUUAAAAUAUCAACAAAUUGGUUCUAGCUCCAAACCAAGGGUUAGUAUUAUGGCAUAUAGUUGGUUAUUUUUCAGAACUGAACACAUGUCUCAUAUGGUCUGUGAUCUUAAUCUUGCAGCCAGCCGCAAAAUCAGCUUUAAAUCCUGGACCUUCUGCUGAAAGAGCUGAGAGGACUUCAGGGGGGCAAGAAAUCCGGGAUAGAUUUUCUGGCGCAGUUGAGGCGUUUGCUAGAAGAAAUCAUCCAGGCUCGGGUUCGCAAGGUGAUCAUUCACGUCAUAGAUCAUCAGAUGAUCCAUCAUCGAAGGAUGUGCAAGCAGACCGUGAAAGAAAAGCAAGUAGACCGUGAAAGAAGUUGCAUUUCAAGGAACAGGCGUACUUCAAAGAGAUCAGCAAUUGCAUCAUCAAGUAGGCCAAGUUCUUCUGGUGAGCCUAGUGAUGGCAGGUAAAGCAGGCUGAUGUUAUAUUUUUUUUGUUUUUCUAUUAAAUUGUGGCUAACGAAGGCCCGGUUACUUGGGGUGGGUGCAAGCAAUAGCUUGCUGUAGAAUUGUGCUAAGUUGGUGAUGCUUAUUUUCUAUUGGUGCUGGUCUGAAGCCAGCUUGGUAGUUUGAGUUGCUACAUUACCAAAGUUGACAUGUUGACUUUGUAAUUAAUUACUCGUACUCUAUA
Molecule: long non-coding RNA, 709 nt
Organism: Spinacia oleracea (spinach)
Lineage: Eukaryota; Viridiplantae; Streptophyta; Magnoliopsida; Caryophyllales; Amaranthaceae
Exons: 3
Source: RefSeq, a predicted model, not a curated record